RNAcentral lists this long non-coding RNA (248 nucleotides) under Phoenix dactylifera (date palm). Its description in RNAcentral is "long non-coding RNA (PDAC_LNC008073)". The record is from RNAcentral. Lineage: Eukaryota; Viridiplantae; Streptophyta; Magnoliopsida; Arecales; Arecaceae.
GUGAUCGAUCCGAUCAAUGCACAGAUCACUUUCCUUCUGGAUGGACGAGACUUGAGUCCACAGUGUAGGGACACUGAAGUGAUAGUGCAGGUGCUUGUUGGAGAACAAGGGUACUGAGCGUGACCAAGACAAGAAGUCACUUGGAUGUCUAUCCACUCAUCAGUGACUUGCUUGAUGUUGCAGUAGUGUGACUGGUCCUUUGACCUGCGAUGCUUCGGCUACUCACAGUGAGGUUAUUGUAGUUUGAC